RNAcentral lists this transfer RNA (57 nucleotides) under Muntiacus reevesi (Reeves' muntjac). It matches the Rfam family "tRNA", at positions 8 to 63 of the family's 71-position model. Rfam says of the family: Transfer RNA (tRNA) molecules are approximately 80 nucleotides in length. Their secondary structure includes four short double-helical elements and three loops (D, anti-codon, and T loops). The record is from Rfam by way of RNAcentral. Lineage: Eukaryota; Metazoa; Chordata; Mammalia; Artiodactyla; Cervidae. RNAcentral also lists the same sequence under 5 other names.
UGGCUCAGACGGUAAAGCGUCUGCCUACAAUGCAGGAGACCCGGGUUCGAUCCCUGG